CCACGUUGCUGUGGAUCUGUAAUAUCAUGUACGUUAUAUGAGAUAAGGAUAAUAGAUUUCCUUCUGUAAAGGACACUAAAGAAUCAAACAGUUGUUUAUGUCUAUCAAUGUUAGUUUCACUGUAACCAUUACCAAGACUAGCUUUCAAUUCCAUUUGUUAAUAAUUGAGUUUAAAUUCCAUCAGAUGCCAUGAUAGGAUUUGAACCAGUGUCCCCAGAUCAUUAGUCUGGGCCUCUAGAUUUCUACUCUACUGAUACUAUCACUAUCCAACCAUUUCAUCUUAACAGCCUUGAGAAGACAAUGCUAAUGCAAUCAAGAUGUUUUGCUCUAAGCCAAAAUAUUUGAGCAUCAAACUGCCCCAAAACAUUCCUAUCCAAAGAACAUGACAGUGAACUCUGUACGAAUCUUUCGCACAACACAGAAAAAUGGCUCCACAAGGCGGGCAGUGCUUCUUCGAGGUUUAUUCCUCUUGCAUAACCCACAGGAAGAAUCUGGUCAUUCAGGGACAAGAGCAGAAUUAAAGAUUCUGUCGUUUGGCAUUUCCAGCAAAGAGCCUGUGGUUUCCAUGCCUUUAGUUUAUUGAUACGCAUUUCCGGUGACCACUAUCUCCCACCAGCAGCGCUGGAUCAUCAAGUCACAUUGCUGUUUUGCUCUACAUCCAGCUGAAAUUGCCAACAUUGAAAACUGUAUUUCACCAAUCUAAGAAUUGCAGCCUAUAUCGCCGAGACAGGGAUAUUUUAUCAGCCACUGUCCCGCUCAUGUGUCCCUAUCUCCUUUUAUCACUAUCGCUGAGGAAGGUAACAGGGAUAAUGGCAGGUUCAGCCGCUGGCCAUUACUGCAACAUGUUUUGAACGGCCAAAUCCCUUCUCGAGUUGCUUCACAGGAGUUGAUUCAAGUUCAUAGUUGCUCCAUGUAUGGUUGAUUUUCAAUCACCAAGACUUUAACAUCUUUUACUUCUUGCUGCUAGGGACUGUGUCUUUGGUGCUGUCCUUUGAUGACUUUCUUCUACCGCUGGGUUAUCAUUUGCUGUCUACACUUGUUAUUCCAGUAGGACUGAGAAAAGAUUGUGCCUUGCAUAAAGAUCUGAAAAGAUUUCUGCAUCCAACGUGUUGGUAUCUCUUUAGAUAAACUUUCCUGAAUGCAAAGUGCCAAGAAGUUGGAUCAGGUCCAUCGUAGAGUGAGUUUGGAGCUUGGAUUGACCUUAUCUUUCAUAAGAACAUUUGAUUCCCAAUCACAUCAUCGAACUGCCUCUUGAAUGAGCUCGCACCUCCAACCACCUGAUGAAGGAACAGCGCUCCGAAAGCUAGUGCUUCUAAUUAAACCGGUUGGACUAUAGCCUGGUGUUGUGUGAUUUUUAACUAGAUGAGGGAAGGUAAUUUCAGACAUGUUUAUUUGGGAAAAGGAUAUUACCUUUAAGAAGCAACAUGGAACAUGAAUGCUAUGCCAUCACAAAAUGAAUCCAGAGUCAGGUGACUUCUGGAUUGAACAUUGAUAAAUCCCCUGGAUCAGAUUAUGUAUAUCCCAAAAUUUUGAAGGAGGUGGCAAUAGAGAUAUUGGAUGCAUUGGUAGUUAUUUUUCAAAAUUCUACAGAUUCUGCAAAAUUUCCUUCAGAUCGAAAGGUAGCAAAAGUAACCUCAUUAUUUUAAAAUGGGGGGAGGGGCGUGUGGGGACAGGGAGAAUUCAGGAUUGCAGAUAAUGUUAGUAGUUGGAAAAAUGCUAUAAUCCAUUGUAACGGAUGUGAUCUUACCGAUGCUUAACAUAACUGAAGAAGAAACUCCCUACUUCUGCACACAAU
This is a non-coding RNA of Chiloscyllium plagiosum (whitespotted bambooshark), 1795 nucleotides long. The record is from RefSeq and is a predicted model, not a curated record. NCBI's taxonomy places the organism in Eukaryota, Metazoa, Chordata, Chondrichthyes, Orectolobiformes, Hemiscylliidae.